This is a long non-coding RNA of Chenopodium quinoa (quinoa), 1099 nucleotides long. RefSeq lists it as uncharacterized. The transcript has 2 exons. The record is from RefSeq and is a predicted model, not a curated record. Lineage: Eukaryota; Viridiplantae; Streptophyta; Magnoliopsida; Caryophyllales; Amaranthaceae.
AAUCUUGAUCUUUACUCUUCCUUCUCUUAUAAGUUUCUUGUACCAAGUUGUUAACACCCAUAAGUUUCACUGCUAAAGAGACACCACUAUUGCCGUAAUCACUUUACCUUUUCCCUGCUCCAGGCCAUUGUUGCCAUCUUUCUUCUUACCGUCGACCAAGCUCAUGCACCGCGGCCACGCACUCUUCUUCUUCCUCCAUUCGUGUCAUGUUUGGUGACACCGAGAAUAGUCUUUGAGACUACUCUGUACACAUGAAACCAAAGUGAACUUAUUUUAUUUGCUCUUAUUUUGAUUAUAAGUUUAUCCUUUAUUUGAGAUACAAACUCUUUACUUUCUUUAAAAACGAUUAUUUAGAUAUUUUGAUGAGAAGAAAAUGAUGCUAAAAUAUAGUAGUAGCUUGCUACCUAAGUUCUAUGUUUGUUCUUAUUUUACUCUUAAAAGUGUAGUGUUCGUUUAAAUUCUAAUAUUAUUUUGCACAAGGAAUUGAUGAUUAGGUACUUCGUACAUUUAACUUCCGAAAAAUGAGUUUUGAUACUAGAGCAAUUAGAGAGUUCUAUAAAUUAAAGUUUUUAUAGUAAUAUUUUCUACUAAAAUGAAUAGUGGUAGUAUUUAUUUUUAAAGUAAUGCUCAUUUUACUCAAAAUGAGGUAAUACUUGUUUUGUUUCUAAAAAUAAGUUUAUACUUGUUUUAUCAAAGGUUUUGAAUUAAGAUGUUACUAAUGAACAUUUAUUAUUAUUGGGUAUGAUCGAAUGAGUUAUGGUAAUGAGGAAUUAAUGAUGGAGGUUGAGAGUUCGAAUGAUGAUUAUUGGAGAAUAAACUAAGUGAGAUGAUUAAGGAUGAUCUAAUCAGGGAUAAUGAUGAUGGAGCUGAAGUUAAUCAAAGGUAAAAGGAUUAAAGGAAUUUACUUAGAGGGAUUUUGGAAUCAAGGCUUAUGUAUUAUGGAUCAUCGAGAGUUGAGAUGGAUUGAUUAUUUUAUUACAGUAAUGAAGACUGGAGUUGUAUUAUUUAUUGAUUAUUCUCAUUAAGGAGUAUGUUUAUUUAUGGGCCCAUAACCCACAGGUGUUCACGAGAUUAUCUAUAUGAUUGAUUCCGUUGCAUA